UUUAAUUUUAUUAAUAAAAAAUAUUUUUAGGGAUAAGCUUAAGAAUAAAUUUAUAUAAUAUUAUUUUAUUAAAAUUAAAUGUAGGAUUAAAAAUUUCUUUUAUUAAUAAUUUGUUAUAAUUAAUUUUUAAAUUUUAUUAUUUUUAUAAUAUUUAUAUUUUUUAUUAAAAUGUUUUAUUUAAUUAUUUAUUAAAAAUAAUAAUGAUAAAAUUAGUAUAAUUUUAUGUAUAAAUUUAAAAAAUAUAAAAGGUUAAAUUAAGGAAUUCGGCAAAUAAAUUUUUCGCCUGUUUAAUAAAAACAUGUCUUUUUGAUAAUAAUAUAAAGUCUAACCUGCCCAAUGAGUUUUAAAUGGCCGCGGUAUUUUGACCGUGCAAAGGUAGCAUAAUCAUUAGUUUUUUAAUUGAAAGCUAGAAUGAAAGGUUGGACGAGAAAAUUACUGUCUCAAUUUAAUUUAAUUAGAAUUUUAUUUUUAAGUAAAAAAGCUUAAAUUUAUUUAAAAGACGAGAAGACCCUAUAGAGUUUUAUAUUAAAAAUAAUAUAUUUAUUUAUAAUUUGUUUUUAUUUUUUUUAAUAUUUUAUUGGGGUGAUAAAUAAAUUUAAUAAACUUUAUUUUUUUAAACACAUAAAUUUAUGAAUUAUUGAUCCAUUAAUAAUGAUUAUAAGAUUAAAUUACCUUAGGGAUAACAGCGUUAUCUUUUUAGAGAGUUCAAAUCGAAAAAAAGGAUUGCGACCUCGAUGUUGGAUUAAAAUUUAUUUUUGGUGUAGAAGCUAAAAUAUUAAGUCUGUUCGACUUUUAAAAUUUUACAUGAUCUGAGUUUAAACCGGUGUGAGCCAGGUUGGUUUCUAUCUUUAAAAAUUUUUUAUAUUUUAGUACGAAAGGACCAAAUAUAAAUAAUAUUUAUUAAUAUUUGAAUAUUAUU
Molecule: ribosomal RNA, 919 nt
Filed under: Ochthebius nanus
Lineage: Eukaryota; Metazoa; Arthropoda; Insecta; Coleoptera; Hydraenidae
Description: partial 16S ribosomal RNA
Rfam family: Archaeal large subunit ribosomal RNA (bases 679-837)
Source: RNAcentral